This 936-nucleotide ribosomal RNA is filed under the name Escherichia coli. Its description in RNAcentral is "partial 23S ribosomal RNA". It matches the Rfam family "Bacterial large subunit ribosomal RNA", at positions 255 to 1230 of the family's 2925-position model. Lineage: Bacteria; Pseudomonadati; Pseudomonadota; Gammaproteobacteria; Enterobacterales; Enterobacteriaceae. The record is from RNAcentral.
GAACGGGGAGCAGCCCAGAGCCUGAAUCAGUAUGUGUGUUAGUGGAAGCGUCUGGAAAGGCGCGCGAUACAGGGUGACAGCCCCGUACACAAAAAUGCACAUGCUGUGAGCUCGAUGAGUAGGGCGGGACACGUGGUAUCCUGUCUGAAUAUGGGGGGACCAUCCUCCAAGGCUAAAUACUCCUGACUGACCGAUAGUGAACCAGUACCGUGAGGGAAAGGCGAAAAGAACCCCGGCGAGGGGAGUGAAAAAGAACCUGAAACCGUGUACGUACAAGCAGUGGGAGCACGCUUAGGCGUGUGACUGCGUACCUUUUGUAUAAUGGGUCAGCGACUUAUAUUCUGUAGCAAGGUUAACCGAAUAGGGGAGCCGAAGGGAAACCGAGUCUUAACUGGGCGUUAAGUUGCAGGGUAUAGACCCGAAACCCGGUGAUCUAGCCAUGGGCAGGUUGAAGGUUGGGUAACACUAACUGGAGGACCGAACCGACUAAUGUUGAAAAAUUAGCGGAUGACUUGUGGCUGGGGGUGAAAGGCCAAUCAAACCGGGAGAUAGCUGGUUCUCCCCGAAAGCUAUUUAGGUAGCGCCUCGUGAAUUCAUCUCCGGGGGUAGAGCACUGUUUCGGCAAGGGGGUCAUCCCGACUUACCAACCCGAUGCAAACUGCGAAUACCGGAGAAUGUUAUCACGGGAGACACACGGCGGGUGCUAACGUCCGUCGUGAAGAGGGAAACAACCCAGACCGCCAGCUAAGGUCCCAAAGUCAUGGUUAAGUGGGAAACGAUGUGGGAAGGCCCAGACAGCCAGGAUGUUGGCUUAGAAGCAGCCAUCAUUUAAAGAAAGCGUAAUAGCUCACUGGUCGAGUCGGCCUGCGCGGAAGAUGUAACGGGGCUAAACCAUGCACCGAAGCUGCGGCAGCGACGCUGAUGCGUUGUUGGGUA